GGACGAACGCUGGCGGCGUGCUUAACACAUGCAAGUCGAACGGUGAAGCGCCUUCCUUUUUGGUGGGUGUGGAUGAGUGGCGAACGGGUGAGUAACACGUGAGUAACCUGCCCCCUUCUUCUGGAUAACCGCAUGAAAGUGUGGCUAAUACGGGAUAUUCUGGGUCUGUCGCAUGAUGGGUCUGGGAAAGAUAUUGUUUCGGUGGGGGAUGGGCUCGCGGCCUAUCAGCUUGUUGGUGGGGUGAUGGCCUACCAAGGCGGUGACGGGUAGCCGGCCUGAGAGGGUGGACGGUCACACUGGGACUGAGACACGGCCCAGACUCCUACGGGAGGCAGCAGUGGGGAAUAUUGCACAAUGGGCGCAAGCCUGAUGCAGCGACGCCGCGUGAGGGAUGGAGGCCUUCGGGUUGUGAACCUCUUUCGCCAGUGAAGCAGGCCUGCCUCGUUUGUGGGUGGGUUGACGGUAGCUGGAGAAGAAGCGCCGGCUAACUACGUG
This 495-nucleotide ribosomal RNA is filed under the name uncultured bacterium. RNAcentral's name for it is "partial 16S ribosomal RNA". It matches the Rfam family "Bacterial small subunit ribosomal RNA", at positions 27 to 507 of the family's 1533-position model. The record is from RNAcentral.